CCGGUUUAAGCGUGUAGGCUGACUUUCCAGGCAAAUCCGGAGAGUCAAGGCUGAGGCGUGACGACGAGGCACCACGGUGCUGAAGCAACAAAUGCCCUGCUUCCAGGAAAAGCCUCUAAGCAUCAGGUAACAUCAAAUCGUACCCCAAACCGACACAGGUGGUCAGGUAGAGAAUACCAAGGCGCUUGAGAGAACUCGGGUGAAGGAACUAGGCAAAAUGGUGCCGUAACUUCGGGAGAAGGCACGCUGACACGUAGGUGAAGUGGUUUACCCAUGGAGCUGAAGUCAGUCGAAGAUACCAGCUGGCUGCAACUGUUUAUUAAAAACACAGCACUGUGCAAACACGAAAGUGGACGUAUACGGUGUGACGCCUGCCCGGUGCCGGAAGGUUAAUUGAUGGGGUCAGCGCAAGCGAAGCUCCUGAUCGAAGCCCCGGUAAACGGCGGCCGUAACUAUAACGGUCCUAAGGUAGCGAAAUUCCUUGUCGGGUAAGUUCCGACCUGCACGAAUGGCGUAAUGAUGGCCAGGCUGUCUCCACCCGAGACUCAGUGAAAUUGAACUCGCUGUGAAGAUGCAGUGUACCCGCGGCAAGACGGAAAGACCCCGUGAACCUUUACUAUAGCUUGACACUGAACAUUGAGCCUUGAUGUGUAGGAUAGGUGGGAGGCUUUGAAGCGUGGACGCCAGUCUGCGUGGAGCCGACCUUGAAAUACCACCCUUUAAUGUUUGAUGUUCUAACGUGGACCCGUGAUCCGGGUUGCGGACAGUGUCUGGUGGGUAGUUUGACUGGGGCGGUCUCCUCCUAAAGAGUAACGGAGGAGCACGAAGGUUGGCUAAUCCUGGUCGGACAUCAGGAGGUUAGUGCAAUGGCAUAAGCCAGCUUGACUGCGAGCGUGACGGCGCGAGCAGGUGCGAAAGCAGGUCAUAGUGAUCCGGUGGUUCUGAAUGGAAGGGCCAUCGCUCAACGGAUAAAAGGUACUCCGGGGAUAACAGGCUGAUACCGCCCAAGAGUUCAUAUCGACGGCGGUGUUUGGCACCUCGAUGUCGGCUCAUCACAUCCUGGGGCUGAAGUAGGUCCCAAGGGUAUGGCUGUUCGCCAUUUAAAGUGGUACGCGAGCUGGGUUUAGAACGUCGUGAGACAGUUCGGUCCCUAUCUGCCGUGGGCGCUGGAGAACUGAGGGGGGCUGCUCCUAGUACGAGAGGACCGGAGUGGACGCAUCACUGGUGUUCGGGUUGUCAUGCCAAUGGCACUGCCCGGUAGCUAAAUGCGGAAGAGAUAAGUGCUGAAAGCAUCUAAGCACGAAACUUGCCCCGAGAUGAGUUCUCCCUGAGACUUAGAGUCUCCUGAAGGAACGUUGAAGACGACGACGUUGAUAGGCCGGGUGUGUAAGCGCAGCGAUGCGUUGAGCUAACCGGUACUAAUGAACCGUGAGGCUUAACC
This 1441-nucleotide ribosomal RNA is filed under the name Salmonella enterica subsp. salamae serovar 47:d:z39. RNAcentral's name for it is "bacterial LSU rRNA". It matches the Rfam family "Bacterial large subunit ribosomal RNA", at positions 1507 to 2925 of the family's 2925-position model. The record is from RNAcentral. Lineage: Bacteria; Pseudomonadati; Pseudomonadota; Gammaproteobacteria; Enterobacterales; Enterobacteriaceae.